RNAcentral lists this transfer RNA (73 nucleotides) under Mustela putorius furo (domestic ferret). It matches the Rfam family "tRNA". Rfam says of the family: Transfer RNA (tRNA) molecules are approximately 80 nucleotides in length. Their secondary structure includes four short double-helical elements and three loops (D, anti-codon, and T loops). Lineage: Eukaryota; Metazoa; Chordata; Mammalia; Carnivora; Mustelidae. The record is from Rfam by way of RNAcentral.
GCCUAGCUGACUCAAUAGGUAGAGCAUGUGACUUUUAAUCUUGGGGUUGUGAGUUUGAGCCCCAUGUUAGGUA